Molecule: ribosomal RNA, 503 nt
Filed under: uncultured bacterium
Lineage: Bacteria
Description: partial 16S ribosomal RNA
Rfam family: Bacterial small subunit ribosomal RNA
Source: RNAcentral
AACGAACGCUGGCGGCGUGUUUAAGACAUGCAAGUCGCACGGGAUAAGACAUGUAGUAAUACUUGUUUUAUUUAGUGGCGCACGGGUGAGUGACACGUGAAUUACAUGCCCUAUAGUGGGGAAUAGCCCAGGGAAACUUGGAUUAAUACCCCAUGGUAUCGAAAGAUUAAAGGUGGCCGCAAGGCUGUCGCUAUAGGAUUGGUUCGCGCCCUAUCAGCUUGUUGGUGAGGUAACGGCUCACCAAGGCAAUGACGGGUACCUGGUCUGAGAGGACGAUAAGGCACACUGGAACUGAGACACGGUCCAGACACCUACGGGUGGCAGCAGUCGAGAAUAAUUCACAAUGGGGGCAACCCUGAUGGUGCAACGCCGCGUGGAGGAUGACGGUCUUCGGAUUGUAAACUCCUGUCAUCUGGGAGAAAGACCUGACGGUAAAUAGCCGGCAGGGUUGAUAGUACCAGAAGAGGAAGGGACGGCUAACUUCGUGCCAGCAGCCGCGGUAA